UGGGUUGAGCAAGUCAAGGGAAGAAAGCCGGUUAGCAGCUCCUGUCUCUGGGAUCCUGCCCUGUGUGAGUUCCUGUCCUGACUUCUUCAGUGACCAACAGCAGUACUGAAGUUUGGAUGGAUUAGACGAUGGAUUAGUUCUUCUUUGGCUGUUUGGAUCCGUUCAGAGCAGCGAGAUGUCUAACACUGGAGCUUUUGAAGAAGAGUGCAGAUCAGACAGAGUGGACAGGAGGUUGGUUACCAAGAAGCUCAAAGGUUAUUGAAAGAAAACAUGGCACAACAGAGAUCACUCAUGGCAGACAGAGAGCAGUGACUCCACCAGAGGCUGGGGGAUGAAAGGGGAGUUGUCCGAGUCGCUCCCCCAAAUCAGAGGAGUCCCAAAGAGACUCGAGGAGCUUUAAAAUGUGAGCAGCUUCUAGGAGCUCCACGAGGAACAUAAAACCUUGUUUCUAGUGAAUUACAAAAGCUUGCCACAUACCAUUUUGUUUAGAUAUUUUUAAAGAUGUUUUAUUUUUAAUUAUGUGUGUGUGAUAAUGAGUUUGUGCACGUGAGUGCGGUGCCCAGAGAGGUCAGAAGAGGGCGACAGACCUCCUGGAACUGGAGUUACAGGCAGUUGUGAGAUGCCUGAUGUGGAUGCUAGAACCAAACUGGUGCCCCUCUGAGGAGCAGUGCCAUGGUUAUAAUGCUGAGUCAUCGCUCUAGCCCCUUGACAUAUUUAAUAAAUACUAGAUAUAGGAAUGAGACAACUUUAUCACACAGUCAAAGCAAUAACUUGACUGAUCUAGAUUCUGUCCUUCUAACUUGGAGUUUAGUCUCCAUUCAGGUUUGAAAACAAAACGUUAGCUUGGAAAUGAAUCCAGCGAUGCUGGCUGGAGCCUUGGUUUAUCCCGUACAGAGGGAGUUCGUCAGCCUUGCAGUUUAACCAUUAACUGGAAUCUCUUUU
Molecule: long non-coding RNA, 942 nt
Organism: Mesocricetus auratus (golden hamster)
Lineage: Eukaryota; Metazoa; Chordata; Mammalia; Rodentia; Cricetidae
Exons: 3
Source: RefSeq, a predicted model, not a curated record